UAAGACGAACCGUGCGAACGUUAUUCGGAAUCACUGGGCUUAAAGCGCGUGUAGGCGGGCCGGCACGUCCGUGGCUGAAAGCCCCCGGCUCAACCGGGGAAGUGGCGCGGAUACGGCCGGCCUGGAGGGGGGUAGGGGGACCUGGAACUUCCGGUGGAGCGGUGAAAUGCGUUGAGAUCGGAAGGAACGCCCGUGGCGAAAGCGAGGUCCUGGACCCUUUCUGACGCUGAGACGCGAAAGCCAGGGGAGCGAACGGGAUUAGAUACCCCGGUAGUCCUGGCCGUAAACGAUGAGCACUGGGUAGGGGGCUCGCCGAUGGGCUCCCUGCCGCAGGGAAACCGUGAAGUGCUCCGCCUGGGGAGUAUGGUCGCAAGGCUG
RNAcentral lists this ribosomal RNA (378 nucleotides) under uncultured bacterium. RNAcentral's name for it is "bacterial SSU rRNA". It matches the Rfam family "Bacterial small subunit ribosomal RNA", at positions 521 to 896 of the family's 1533-position model. The record is from RNAcentral.